AAGGCUGAAAUUCGCCUUCAUGAAGCUGGAAUUGCUAGUAAUGGCAGGUCAGCAUACUGCCGUGAAUACGUUCCCGGGCCUUGUACACACCGCCCGUCACACCAUGAGAGUUGGGAAUACCCGAAGCCUGUGAGCUAACUUUUAGAGGCAGCAGUCGAAGGUAGAAUCAAUGAUUGGGGUGAAGUCGUAACAAGGUACC
RNAcentral lists this ribosomal RNA (199 nucleotides) under uncultured bacterium. RNAcentral describes it as "partial 16S ribosomal RNA". It matches the Rfam family "Bacterial small subunit ribosomal RNA", at positions 1301 to 1500 of the family's 1533-position model. The record is from RNAcentral.